RNAcentral lists this ribosomal RNA (724 nucleotides) under uncultured bacterium. RNAcentral's name for it is "bacterial SSU rRNA". It matches the Rfam family "Bacterial small subunit ribosomal RNA", at positions 28 to 776 of the family's 1533-position model. The record is from RNAcentral.
GAUGAACGCUGACAGAAUGCUUAACACAUGCAAGUCUACUUGAUCCUUCGGGUGAUGGUGGCGGACGGGUGAGUAACGCGUAAAGAACUUGCCCUGCAGUCUGGGACAACAUUUGGAAACGAAUGCUAAUACCGGAUAUUAUGUGAGUUUCGCAUGAAAUUCAUAUGAAAGCUAUAUGCGCUGCAGGAGAGCUUUGCGUCCUAUUAGCUAGUUGGUGAGGUAACGGCUCACCAAGGCGAUGAUAGGUAGCCGGCCUGAGAGGGUGAACGGCCACAAGGGGACUGAGACACGGCCCUUACUCCUACGGGAGGCAGCAGUGGGGAAUAUUGGACAAUGGACCAAAAGUCUGAUCCAGCAAUUCUGUGUGCACGAUGAAGUUUUUCGGAAUGUAAAGUGCUUUCAGUUGGGACGAAGUAAGUGACGGUACCAACAGAAGAAGCGACGGCUAAAUACGUGCCAGCAGCCGCGGUAAUACGUAUGUCGCAAGCGUUAUCCGGAUUUAUUGGGCGUAAAGCGCGUCUAGGCGGUUUGGUAAGUCUGAUGUGAAAAUGCGGGGCUUAACUCCGUAUUGCGUUGGAAACUGCCAAACUAGAGUACUGGAGAGGUGGGCGGAACUACAAGUGUAGAGGUGAAAUUCGUAGAUAUUUGUAGGAAUGCCGAUGGGGAAGCCAGCCCACUGGACAGAUACUGACGCUAAAGCGCGAAAGCGUGGGUAGCAAACAGG